RNAcentral lists this unclassified non-coding RNA (155 nucleotides) under uncultured Chaetothyriales. Its description in RNAcentral is "sequence contains ITS2". Lineage: Eukaryota; Fungi; Ascomycota; Eurotiomycetes; Chaetothyriales. The record is from RNAcentral.
UCACGGUAUCAAGCUUGGCUUGUUGUUGGGCCCUUUGUCACUGGGUGACAGGUCCGAAAGACAAUGACCGGUGGAACAGACUCCACAUGCAACGAGCUGACAACAGCACGCAUCUGGCAGUUGUGUGACCCGGUAUGACUCCCCUUCUUUCUCCA